AUACUUACUUGGACGGGGUCAAUGAGUGAUCAAAAAGGCCCAUGGCCUAGGUUGGUGACUUCCAUUGCACUUUGAAGGGGUGUCUAUCUAAGAUCGAUCCAAGUGGUCGAGCUUACGUCAUAAUUUGUGGUAGCGGAGGCCUGCGUUCGCACGACCCCUAC
RNAcentral lists this small nuclear RNA (161 nucleotides) under Nicotiana attenuata. RNAcentral's name for it is "snRNA U1". It matches the Rfam family "U1 spliceosomal RNA". From Rfam's summary of the family: U1 is a small nuclear RNA (snRNA) component of the spliceosome (involved in pre-mRNA splicing). Its 5' end forms complementary base pairs with the 5' splice junction, thus defining the 5' donor site of an intron. Lineage: Eukaryota; Viridiplantae; Streptophyta; Magnoliopsida; Solanales; Solanaceae. The record is from Rfam by way of RNAcentral.